RNAcentral lists this ribosomal RNA (504 nucleotides) under uncultured bacterium. RNAcentral's name for it is "partial 16S ribosomal RNA". It matches the Rfam family "Bacterial small subunit ribosomal RNA", at positions 30 to 523 of the family's 1533-position model. The record is from RNAcentral.
AUUGAACGCUGGCGGCAGGCCUAACACAUGCAAGUCGGACAGUAGCACAGAGAGCUUGCUCUUGGGUGACGAGUGGCGGACGGGUGAGUAAGGUCUGGGAAACUGCCCGGUGGAGGGGGAUAACUACUGGAAACGGUAGCUAAUACCGCAUAACGUCGCAAGACCAAAGUGGGGGACCUUCGGGCCUCACACCAUCGGAUGUGCCCAGAUGGGAUUAGCUAGUAGGUGGGGUAAUGGCUCACCUAGGCGACGAUCCCUAGCUGGUCUGAGAGGAUGACCAGCCACACUGGAACUGAGACACGGUCCAGGCUCCUACGGGAGGCAGCAGUGGGGAAUAUUGCACAAUGGGCGCAAGCCUGAUGCAGCCAUGCCGCGUGUAUGAAGAAGGCCUUCGGGUUGUAAAGUACUUUCAGCGGGGAGGAAGGCGGUGAAGUUAAUAACUUCACCGAUUGACGUUACCCGCAGAAGAAGCACCGGCUAACUCCGUGCCAGCAGCCGCGGUAA